AAAAUUGGACUAUCUACAUGUUAAAAUAUCAACAAUAUACCAAUAAUUCCAAACCACACAGCCCAUCCAUCGGGCAAUCAAUCAAUUCACUUUCUCCCAUCCUCCAUAGUCUCCAUAUCAACAUAAAUUUAUAAAUGUUUCUUUAAUUCUAUAUAUUAUCAUUUCCUAACAAAUUCAUUUAUUACUCGAAUUUAAUUCUAAUCAAUCAAGUAAUUUUUAUUAAUCAAUGGAUCAACACUAAAUUAAAUUAAUUUAAUGAAUCAAAUAAUUAAACUAAUCAGUAGAUCUAACCAAAUUAAAUUAGUUAACUAAUCAAAAUUGCUAAAUUAAAUUAAUUAAUCAAGAUUGCUAAAAUCAAUCUCAUUAACUAAAUUACUAAAAUCAAAUUAAUCAACUAAAAUUAAGCUAACUAAAAGUACUAAAUUUAAUUAACUACCAUUAAUAAAAUUAAUUUAAUUGGCUAAAAUGUAUUUAAAGUAAUGUAUUAUUUUAUAUAUUUUUUUUUGUCGAAUUUUUUGCUAGAUCGGAAAUUUUCACGCAUGCCGGAUUGGAGCUAUGCGCGUUGGACGUACAAGCAGAUGGCCGGAGUCGGGCUGGGGCGGCUGGACCACCUCAAAUCGACGCGAAGGAGAAACUGAGUUGCAGUGGUGGCGCGAUCUGGCGGAGGAACGGG
This 673-nucleotide long non-coding RNA is filed under the name Jatropha curcas. Its description in RNAcentral is "long non-coding RNA (JCUR_LNC000052)". The record is from RNAcentral. Lineage: Eukaryota; Viridiplantae; Streptophyta; Magnoliopsida; Malpighiales; Euphorbiaceae.